UUACAGACUCGGUUUGCGCUGACUCUGUUGUGUGUGUGUGUAUGUGUGUUUGUAUAUUUUCGGUUCCUUCAACGUGCAGGUAUUUCCUGGCCUUAAAACGCAGCUACCGCAGGACAGCACGCUGUAGAUUUCCAUAGUUCCCCUGUAAUACUGACCUCCUCUAGUGGUGGAGAGGCAGGCAGGCCCGAAUAUGUCACGCCAGGGCUAAACCCAAAAAUAGUUUAGUGGGUGACACUGGACCUUUAAUGUCUUUUUUUCUCCUUUACUUAGCCAUCGCAUAUAAAAUAUCAUGCGUGUAUGCUGUAGUACACUUAUUUCUUCAUCUUUAUGUAUAAUUUAUAAAUUGUUUGUACAUAAUGAAAAUAUAAUUAAAUAAGACACUAUUUAUGUCACGUAUUAGUAAAUAUAUUUAUUUAUUAUUAUUUUUUAGCAACAUCAACAAACAGUUUACCAAAUUCUGUCACUCUCAAGAAGUAGUGUUUCAGUGAUGUUUAGAUCAUCCGCUACAGAACUUUUGGGCGGAAUUAAAUGAUUGGGGAGAGGGGACAAUUUGUUUUUGGAGGUUUGUAGGUCGGUGGUCGCCCACCUAGUUAACUCGUUACCUUGAGGUCUGUUUGAAUCUGCCUUGACAGCCGGUGAGGAGGAGGAGGAUGCUAUAAAUGCGAAAUCUACGCACAUGCUAUCUGAGGUCGCUUUUGUGCAGGAAUGAUGACGAAACUGAGUGUCAUUCAAAUGAACGAUUAGCGAAUAAUUAUGAGAGCGCGAAAAUAACUAAGAUAUCUGAAUGCUGUACAUAACUUCGAAAGGGAGAAUAUUUUUUUUACAUAUUAAUAUGACGCAAAGACGACCUUUUCUAUGAUAAACCUGGUCAUUGUUUGAAGAAAUCGGUUUUAGUGUCAUUUUUGCUGUAAACAUAACCGUCACUAGAUUCGCUAUGCAUAGUUAAGAUGUCAAUGUACAUAUGAAUAUGGAGGUAGGAAUAGGCUAACAGACUUACACAGGACUGGUCUGAACUUUUUGACCACCUGAAGCCUAACUAGGUCAGCUGACGUCGAGGUUAAUUGCUAUUCAACAUUCAUAGCAGGAGUCGACGACUGAACUCGGUUACGGAAUUGACGAAGACUGAAAAGAUUGGAGAGAGACCGUUCGAGGCAGCUCAAAGAGACUUGGGAAAUGCCACAUCAUAUGAGAAGAUCUUCAUUCGUCUUCUUACCAUCUAUCUAUCUAUCUACCCAGACACGCAAGAUCAACAGAACUGAGAAAGAAGUUAGGUCACACCGGCAGGACUGAGCCUUAAAUCAACCCUGGCGUUGAAUAUGAUCACGGUCUAGAUACUGGACCGUGAAUAUGAUAUACUACGCUGUGGCUACAGUUACGGCAGCCGUAACGCGACUUUCCAAGGCUGUGGUGACGACAGGUAUUUAUGCAGAUGCCCAUGUGUUUUCCGGAAAAAGUGACGUAGAAUGACGUCAUCCCCCUUUCUGCCAAUCAUCGGGGUAGGAGGAGGAGGACGAAUGAUGUUGAAGAAGUUUUUGUAUUUCGCAAAACCCGUUUAGUCGUAUUCACCCCUUUGGUUGCAUUCAAGACUAUCAUUCACUCACUCCCCAGCAAUAUCAAUUGUCAUUUUUUUCUAACUAGAUACAAACUGCCUUCACGUAAGUCAGAAAAACAUGAAUCGAAUACUUGAAAGAAGAAGGAAUUUUCAUUUGCGGUAUAACAUUAUGGUCUGCGCUAAACAGAUUAUUUCAGUAUACACAGAAGCUAAUCUCUCGCUGUCUCACGAAGUCACAAAAUAUUAUGUUAAGCGUUCUGUGCCGCUUCUCACUUAAGCCUGCCCUAUUAUUAAGUUUAUUAUACAUCUGAGGCCGUCAUUGCCUGCAUGUAGUAUUAUGUCACUGCUCCCUUCAGAUCAAAUUCAAAUUCAAACCUACUCAGCAGUUUCUUGUACAAUCUAUGAUACAACUGGUUUAUUUACAAAUGUUGUAAGAGAUCUUUAAUGAAUAUCCAAACAUUGAGUAAAAAUAACUCAUAGCGUAUGUCAAACUUCGAAAACUUAUCCUAAAUUCUUUUAACCAUAUUGUUAUUUAUCAU
Macrobrachium nipponense is the source of this 2091-nucleotide long non-coding RNA. RefSeq lists it as uncharacterized. Lineage: Eukaryota; Metazoa; Arthropoda; Malacostraca; Decapoda; Palaemonidae. The transcript has 3 exons. The record is from RefSeq and is a predicted model, not a curated record.